AGAGAGAGAGAGAGAGAGAGUAAACUGAACAGUUUAAAGCCAGAAACCACACUAGAAAUUAAGAACAGAAAUUUGCAUUUUAGAUUUUGGUAGAGUAAUACAACCAGGAAACCCAUCAUUUAAUUUUGCAUCGGCAGAAAGCCAUGUUAAAAUCCAAGAGGACUAAUAGAAAUACUGAAAGAGAAAACUUCAAAAACUUGAUUUUAAUGUGAUUAUCAUUGUAGUUUGCUGUGACCCUCGUCCAUUAUACAGUUUCCUUCAAUUACUAAACUUUCAAUCAGGCAUAAAAUAUACUUAAUGCAUUAACCAGUGUUCCAUAACACACACAAAAUUUUGUCUCACAGCUCAGUACACAAUAUUUAACAGGGAAAAACAACAAAUUCAGCAAGAUCUUCAUCUUACCAAGUGAAUCUUAUGUAAUGCACACCACACAACACAGUUCCACGAAUAGUCGAUUUUACACUUAAAAUUAUGGGGCAAAAAAGUCACCACCCAAAGAAAGAGAAAAGUUAAGGUCUCACAAAUUUCUAUAUAUUUUACGCCCUUAAAAUGGCAUGCUUCUUUAGACAAUGCAAACCUGUCAAGGAAAUUUUAAUGCAUGGUGAACAAUUCAUGGUGGCAAGGCAAGUAUGAAACCAAAUAAAUGCUUUUAAUUUAUCCAUCAAACGUGAGAACAUGAAAAGUCAAAAUUGUGUUAAUUUUUUUCAUCUCCAACUACUCACCUAGCAACUAGCAUGCUUGGCUAGGAUCCCCUUAAAUAUCUUAAAAAAAUGUUUACAUAUAUAACAAUUACAAAAUGGAACAAGAACUAUGAAGCAUCAGUAAUAAUUCAAGCACACAAACAUAUGCACCAACCCCACUAAAUUAAUUUUAAAUAUAUAUAUAUUAAAACAGCAAUUUACAAGAAGAAAAGCCUACAUCAGCCAUGCGUCAGACAAUAAUUUUAAGAGAACCAUCAAUAAUACCUAAAACACAAAAUAUGUCAAAAAAAAAUCAGAACAUCUAAUUUCAUAAAGUUAAAUAAACAAAUUCAAUUACUGUUUGAAAAUGGAAACAAAACAAGGGCAUUGACCUGAAUUCUGAACCCAACUAGGA
This 1095-nucleotide unclassified non-coding RNA is filed under the name Hevea brasiliensis (rubber tree). Lineage: Eukaryota; Viridiplantae; Streptophyta; Magnoliopsida; Malpighiales; Euphorbiaceae. The record is from RNAcentral.